Molecule: long non-coding RNA, 230 nt
Filed under: Brassica napus (rape)
Lineage: Eukaryota; Viridiplantae; Streptophyta; Magnoliopsida; Brassicales; Brassicaceae
Description: long non-coding RNA (BNAP_LNC011465)
Source: RNAcentral
AAACCGGCGGUGACUUUGAGAAAAAUCAAACGGAAGAAAUUUUUUGGCUCCAUGUGUUGUUUUUUGUUUCUUUAGUGAGAUAGAUCAAAGUAGCCAUCGCAUUAUAUAGAAGAAAAAAAGGAAACACGUGAGCUUAGUUAAUUACGUCACUGAUCACCAGUAUUGUAAAUAGACAAAUCGUCCAAAAGAUAAAAUAUCGAACCCCUAGGAAGUAGGAUCUUAUCUUUGAC